GUACAUGCCGUAUUAAGGCGAAACCGCGAAUGGCUCAUUAAAUCAGUUAUGGUUCCUUGGAUCGUACCUUACUACUUGGAUAACUGUGGUAAUUCUAGAGCUAAUACAUGCAGCAGAGCUCCGACCUUCGGGGAAGAGCGCUUUUAUUAGACCAAGACCAAUCGGACUCCGUCCGUCUCCCGUGGUGACUCUGAAUAACUUUGGGCUGAUCGCACGGGCCCGUCCCGGCGACGUAUCUUUCAAGUGUCUGCCUUAUCAACUUUCGAUGGUAGGUUACGCGCCUACCAUGGUCGUAACGGGUAACGGGGAAUCAGGGUUCGAUUCCGGAGAGGGAGCCUGAGAAACGGCUACCACAUCCAAGGAAGGCAGCAGGCGCGCAAAUUACCCACUCCCGGAACGGGGAGGUAGUGACGAAAAAUAACAAUACGGGACUCUUUUGAGACCCCGUAAUUGGAAUGAGUACACUCUAAAUCCUUUAACGAGGAUCCAUUGGAGGGCAAGUCUGGUGCCAGCCGCCGCGGUAACUCCAGCUCCAAUAGCGUAUAUUAAAGUUGUUGCGGUUAAAAAGCUCGUAGUUGGAUCUCAGUUCCAGACGGGUGGUCCGCCUACCGGUGGUUACUGCCUGUUCUGAACAGCCAGCCGGUUUCUCUUGAUGAUCUUCACCGGUUGUCUUGGGUGACCGGCAAGUUUACUUUGAAAAAAUUAGAGUGCUCAAAGCAGGCGCGACGCCUGAAUAAUGGUGCAUGGAAUAAUGGAAUAGGACCUCGGUUCUAUUUUGUUGGUUUUCGGAACACGAGGUAAUGAUUAAGAGGGACAGACGGGGGCAUUCGUAUUGCGACGCUAGAGGUGAAAUUCUUGGACCGUCGCAGGACGAACUACUGCGAAAGCAUUUGCCAAGAAUGUUUCCAUUAAUCAAGAACGAAAGUUAGAGGUUCGAAGGCGAUCAGAUACCGCCCUAGUUCUAACCAUAAACGAUGCCAGCCAGCGAUCCGGCUGUGUUCCUCAAAUGACACGCCGGGCAGCUUCCGGGAAACCAAAGCUUUUGGGUUCCGGGGGAAGUAUGGUUGCAAAGCUGAAACUUAAAGGAAUUGACGGAAGGGCACCACCAGGAAUGGAGCCUGCGGCUUAAUUUGACUCAACACGGGAAAACUCACCCGGCCCGGACACAGGAAGGAUUGACAGAUUAAGAGCUCUUUCUUGAUUCUGUGGGUGGUGGUGCAUGGCCGUUCUUAGUUGGUGGAGCGAUUUGUCUGGUUAAUUCYGAUAACGAACGAGACUCUAGCCUACUAAAUAGACGCUCCGGUGGAUCUCGC
This 1313-nucleotide ribosomal RNA is filed under the name Jacksonoides kochi. RNAcentral's name for it is "SSU rRNA". It matches the Rfam family "Eukaryotic small subunit ribosomal RNA", at positions 63 to 1388 of the family's 1831-position model. Lineage: Eukaryota; Metazoa; Arthropoda; Arachnida; Araneae; Salticidae. The record is from RNAcentral.